Molecule: long non-coding RNA, 5637 nt
Organism: Capsicum annuum
Lineage: Eukaryota; Viridiplantae; Streptophyta; Magnoliopsida; Solanales; Solanaceae
Exons: 2
Source: RefSeq, a predicted model, not a curated record
UCAGCAGCCCAUUUCUUUAUUUCUCAACCCAAUCCAACCCACAAUAUUUCUCUUUUCCAGCUUCAACAAACAGACAGCCUUCAACAAGACAUCGAAAAAACCCAAAGUACAACAGUAACAACCAUCAUUGAUAACCCACAACACUCGACCUUCAACAAACAACUGACAAAAAUCCAUCAACUUUGCAACCCAAUCCGUCAUCCUUAACCCAAAAUUCGGCAAAAAAUAUCUUCCCAACAUUGACCCGACUUCGACCCGCCUGGAUGGUGGGUGUUUGUAACAAAAAUUCAAGAAAGUUUCUAGAAAUGGGUGAGCUGGCUCACCCCAACGUUUCAAUCCCGCGAAUCUCGGGUACCAUAGUACGAAUUCGUACAUAGAUGGAGAAUUAUCAUUGGCUUGGAGAUUUUAUUCUCCUUCCACCAUUUUUUAUUGAUUAGCUUUUGAAAUUAGCAAUGGAUUUGAGUAUGUUUUGGGGAGAGAAUGCCUUAUCUUUAGGGAAUUCCAUUUUUGUUGAGCUUCCCAAAAAUACCCCUAAUUCUACCUUUUAUAUAAGAGGACAUUCGUUCAUUAUUUUAAGAGAAGAUAGAGGUUGGAAAUUCUUGGGUUAGGAAUUUGAGGGGAAAAUUCUCUGAGAAAGUUAGGCAAGGAAAAGAUAGGAGUAAGAAAAUUCUGAGAGUUUUCGAUGGUGGCACAUCUCGCUGUUAGCGCAUUAUCCCAUUUUGCUGCCCCGAAAGAGGUAAACACAUUCUCGUCCUUUUAAUUUCAUCAUUUUUCUGGUUCAUCCCCCUUUUUUCUUCAUAGAAUUAAUCAUGAAUGAAGCAAGUGCCAUGAUGGCCUUAAGAUUGUUUGUUGAUCAUUUGUUUAGCUAAAUCAGUAUCCACAUCGUGAGUUUAACUAUCAACUACUUUGAUUACUUUCUCAUGAUCUAUGGCGAUAUGAGUUAUAUGCAAGUGUGUAGCAUGAAUCAAUAAUUUUAAUAUUGUGCAAUUUUUGAUUUGGUUUUAAUGAAGAGAAUUUGUUUUGCCUAAAGAGAUAUGUUAGGGUGUGUUGUUGUAUUUGGUAUGAUUCAUGCUUUAAUAUUCAUGGUUCUGUUUGGAAUAAAUGCGGGUAUCUCUUUAAGCUGCUUUAUGUCUGAAUCUUCAGGUUGUCAUGUUCAGUGAUUUAUUUAUUGUUCUAAUACUUGAUCUUUACUCCUUUCUGUAUCCGAGCCGGCCUAAAUGUUUUCUUUAUUUCCUGGACGUUCCUGCAUAUUUUGGUCGCUCGUAUUAUAUUCUAGAUAAUUACAGAUAGUUACUUCUCGUUGGUAAAUACCUCUAAACCUUAUUCGAGUGUUCCUGUUUUUAAAGGAUAACAGUAAUCUUUAUGUCAGCUUGAACAGCGCACUGGGUAUAUUACGUAACACCAUGCUAUUUGUCUUCUUGUAUGAGCUUAUGCAAUGACACGCUGAUUUGUUAUUUUAAGUAUUUUACUCUUGAGUUGUGCAUCAUGUAGAAUUAUUCGGGGAUAUGAAGCAUAAUACAGCCUUAGUGUGGAUGCAUACAGUUGACAACUCUAGGAUAUCUAAAUUUAAUAUGUUAUAUUCGUAUCUUGAUCAUGUGCAACUCAGCUAAUGUUUUUUCUCUCUUAAUUCACUCUGUGACUGGUAGUGUGAGUUAUAAGAGGCGAGUGUUUGAUUGAUUCUACCUUAAAGUUGUCAACUUUGAUGCUUUAUGAUGUUCUCUUUCGAGUCACACACAUUUUUGUUUACAACUAUAGUGUAAUUGUUAGAUACCAUAAACAACGGAUGGAUUGAAAUAUCCUUUGUUGACGAUUGUCCGAUUAAGCUGCUAAAUGUAGUCUUCAUGACAUUGUUUUCUCAAGACACUUGGUCAAUGGGUUUGGUACCUUGUUUAGGCUAUGACUAAUAGAGUGUAAGUUGUCAUUUGUUCAAAUAUAGUCAUUUCGGCCAUUUAGAAUAUUAGUUGUGCAUCUUUAAACAAUUAUUUACAGGCCUUAUGCUACAUUAUGAACUCUUUGAUUGUCUGAUUCAUGUUUUAUGACUCACUAAUUACCUAUGUUGUAUAUUAUUGGCUCUUAUUCAGUUAUUUUACAUUAUUCUUACAUGUUUUUUCCUUUGCCGUUCGUCUUGUGCCAAGGUGUUCUAGUUUAUGUCAGGAUUGCUAUGGCUAAAUGUGACUACUUAAACAUUUUGAAUCAUGCAUAAUACGGUCCUGAGUUACAUCUCACUUUUAGGGAUUACUAAAAUUUGAUUUCUCGUUCGUUGAUCAUAAUUCAGAUGCGUGAAUCUUCAUUGAAAUUUUAAAAAUUUUCUUUUUCCUUAAAAUCAGCCUUCAUUCUCUUCGCUGCAUGAAUCUUAUUUUAUGUUGUAGAAAGGCAUUAUUUUUUUUGGUGGUAGACUGGUAUCUGACACCUUCUCUUGUUUUAAACCAUGUCAUGUGUAUCUUGAAUCGGUAUUAAUUCUUUCAUCCUUUUCUUUCCAUGGGUACACCUCGGAGUACAAAAGGGAUUUUUUUCCUUUGCAUUUCCUUAAUGGGCCGAUAAGGCCCAUCUCAAUUAUUCAAUCAUGAAGCUCUAAGUCCAAAAGUGAUCCCAUGGCAUUUGGAUACAAGGAGUCGGAAAAAGAUGGAAACAUGGGUUAAAGUUCCCUUGAAGAGGUUGGGCGACUUGAAAGUCUUGUUUCUUCAUUUAUUUCAUUCGUACUGUUAUCUUUAUUUAUUUAUUCUUUUAUUUAUUUCUUUGUUUAUUUAUUCGGGCCUCGAAGCCAAAGUUGUAUUUAAUACAUGUAAAGUGAAAACUCGAGCCAAAAGUGGCUCGAAAACAUAGAAUUAGGAAAGGUGAAAGAAAAAAUGGGUUGAAAACCCGUCUAGAUUAGGACAGGGUAGGUGGUUUGGUCUUGAAAGCCUAAAUCACUACUUCCCUGCUUUUCUCCCCUUUUCCUUUCGUUUACUUGUUUGCAUGUUUCUUGCGAACCAAGUUGAAUCCCUAACUAAGUCGCUAAAAAACUAAUUUUUCAAAAAAAAACUUUUUCUUAAUCAACUACUUUUCAACAAAUUAAUCUAUUUGAAGUUAGUCAAAAGACGUUUUCAAACAGUCCGGAUAACCGCAAGUUAGCGGACGUUUUAGGUGCCUAACACCUUCCUAAAAUUUUAAUAGGAACCGCUUAUUCAGAAUCUCUAACUUAGAAUGAUUUUUUUAUUUUGGAUCGUUCAAAGUACUUUAUAAAGGUUUCUUAAUUUCUUUUCAAAAUUAAGUGGCGACUCUUCUUAAAAAGUCAAAAUUUCUCCGCAAAAUAGAAAUAGCGACUCUGCUGGGGAUUUUUAAUUAGGUUCUAACCAAAUGUUUGAUUUCGUCUUUUGAUUAACUAUUUAUGUGUUUAUAUGUUUCGAUUCAUUAAAGUUUACUAUCGUAUCUCAUGGCAUAUUCCUGCAUUAUUUAAACUGUUUUGAGGUUUCGUGGAUAUCCCGGUCCCUAUUGUUCAAUUCCAAUAAAGUGUUGGAAAUACGAAUGGCUUAUUAGAAUGUGAGUCGUCUGAUGGCUGUCUGUAUUUUCAAACUCAAAUUUUUCACAUGAGACCCAGUGUUCAAACCCACUCUAGACACUUAGGAUAGAACGAAACCAAAACCCUAUUUAGGCAUGAGCCUAGGACGAUGCAAUAUCGGAGUGGGGUAUUGGGCCUAUUAGAAAAUCUGUCUUGCAUUUAUUGACCCUGACUCAAUUAUAGACGAACCACGUUUAUGUGUUGAAGAAAAUAUAUGCCUAUCUAAUUCAAUCCAUUAUUCUUUGGGGGUCGGGAAAAAACUUGAUUUGCUUACUUUCGUAAGAAGAAUUGAAGCAAUUUAAGCAAGAAAUUGAUCGAUUUGGGAGGUUCCAUAUAAGGCAUAGUGUGAACGUCAAGGAAUGUCACCAAUAUAAGAAAUGGACGAAGCUAAGAAGGCAAAGGUUGAUAGAAGAAGCACCCAGGAGUUUGUAUUUUCAAUCCCUUAUGUGGGAAUGUGUUUUCUUUCAUGUUAUUUCCCUUUCCCUAAAGAUUGUAUCCCUCUUUUGUUAUCUUUUGUAGUCAUUUAUGCCCUUUUAGUGUCUAUAAAAGUUGGGGGAUAAUGGAUUGACCUUAAGCAAGCAUAUAUUUUUCUUCAAAAAUCAUUAGGCCCAAACCCUUGGCUCAAAAAGGUCGCCCCAGUUAGGAUACGCAUUAUUAUAAUGUUCUUAUGUGAUAUAAUUGUCUUAUGUGUUAAUGUGCGUUUGUUUGGAUCAAAGACAAGUUUAUCUGCUAUGCUCUUAUAGAUGGAUUUGGCAAUGACACAAACAACUCUACGUGGCUAUUUCUUGUCAAGUAUUUUACAUUGUUUAUCACAUGUGGAAACUAAAGCAUUUACUUUUGAGUUGUUUUACUUUACAGAUAAUAGAAAACUACUCUGUGUUGAAAUAAGCUGGCAGAACAUCCUUACUUCACCCGGUCAAAAGCGCAUGAAAUCCCAUUCUCUGACCAUCAUUCAAUAAUGACUGGAAAUGAUGAAUAAAAUACAUUGACCAUCAGGGACAAUGUAAUAGCAGAACAGAGUGAGAUGAUUGCAGAACUUGUAAGAAAGAUAGAAAUACUUCAGGAGGAAAUAAAUCAUACUCGAGAUUUGGCUAACCUGGCCAUCACUGUCAAUGCUCCCGCUCCAGGAGGACACGGGAAUCCACUCCGGGAUCAGACAAAUAACAUAUCAUCCGUCUCUGCCCCUCCACUUGUCCAAAAUACCAAUUGUGAAAAUAAUCCAGAUGCUUACCAUCCAUAAAAUCCAACCCUCACCCCAUAAAAUCCUUCUCCAAAUAUACAAAAUUCAUUCCCAAAUCCCCAGAACCCAUUGGUAAAUCCACAAAAUCCAUCCCCAGAUCUACCAAAGCUGCCAAAUCUAUCUCCGAGCCCACAAACUUCAUUUCUAAAUCCACAGAAUCUUUCCCAGAUCCCACCAAGCUACUCUCAAAUUCCACAAAACUUUUCCAAUUUCCGAAAUGUUCUCCCUACCCACUAGCAAAUUUUCUUUCAUCCACAUAAUCAAGAUGCCUUUCCAAAUCCUUCUCAUGCCAUCAUAUCUCCUUACAUUUAUAAUUACCUUCCUAAUCCUGAGGUGGACCAUUACGAGGAGAAGGAGAAAGAGUGGAGGAACGAGCAUGAAAUGAAGUUGCUAGCUAUGAAUGAAGAGAUCAUAAGGAUCAAGAAAUCUUAUAGAGAGGGGAACAACGACGGGUUAGGUUACAAUGAUUUAUAUAUUUACCCUGGAGUAGAUCUACCAGAAGGGUAUAAGGUCCCUAAAUUUGAAGUAUUCGAUGGCAGCAGAAAUCCAAUGGCCCAUCUGAUAAGGUAUUAUGAUCAACUGGUGGAAGUAGGAAAAAUGAGGAAUUAUUAAUGCGCUUAUUCAGCCGAAGCUUAAGUGGCGAAGCCUUAGAUUGGUUCACGUCUAAAGAACUGAAAAAGUGGACCAGUUGAAGGGCAUUGGCCAAAAGUUUCCUUAAUAGGUUUGCAUUCAACAUUGAAAUAGUCCCUGACCGAUAUUCAUUAGAUCAGAUCAAGUAGAGGAAUGAUAAGUAUUUCCGAGACUAUACCUUCCAUUGGAGAAAAGAAGCUGCCAAAGUACAACCUCUCAUGUCUGCGGA